UAGGACUAUGAGUGCUAGGGCUACAUUCACAUUGUCUGCACGUUGCAGGUGGUGUCUUACUAGUACUCCACUUAAGAAUAAUGUGCAAGAUCUUUACAGCCUUUUUAAUCACAAUG
Long non-coding RNA from Ipomoea nil (Japanese morning glory), 116 nucleotides. RefSeq lists it as uncharacterized. The transcript has 3 exons. NCBI's taxonomy places the organism in Eukaryota, Viridiplantae, Streptophyta, Magnoliopsida, Solanales, Convolvulaceae. The record is from RefSeq and is a predicted model, not a curated record.